This 455-nucleotide ribosomal RNA is filed under the name Chryseobacterium sp. AC48. RNAcentral's name for it is "bacterial SSU rRNA". It matches the Rfam family "Bacterial small subunit ribosomal RNA", at positions 977 to 1436 of the family's 1533-position model. Lineage: Bacteria; Pseudomonadati; Bacteroidota; Flavobacteriia; Flavobacteriales; Weeksellaceae. The record is from RNAcentral.
AGGCUAAAUGGGAAUUGAUCGGUUUAGAAAUAGACCUUCCUUCGGGCAAUUUAAGGUGCUGCAUGGUUGUCGUCAGCUCGUGCCGUGAGGUGUUAGGUUAAGUCCUGCAACGAGCGCAACCCCUGUCACUAGUUGCCAUCAUUAAGUGGGCGACUCUAGUGAGACUGCCUACGCAAGUAUGAGAGGAAGGUGGGGAUGACGUCAAACAUCACGGCCCUUACGCCUUGGGCCACACACGUAAUACAUGGCCGGUACAGAGGGCGCUACACAGCGAUGUGAUGCAAAUCUCGAAAGCCGGUCUCAGUUCGCAUUGGAGUCUGCAACUCGACUCUAUGAAGCUGGAAUCUGUAAUCGCUAGUAAUCGCGCAUCAGCCGGGCGCGGUGAAUACGUUCCCGGGCUUGGACACACCGCCCGUCAAGCCAUGGAAGUGAUCUUCUCUGGGGUACCUGAAGUC